AUUGAACGCUGGCGGCAGGCCUAACACAUGCAAGUCGAGCGGAUGAAGGGAGCUUGCUCCUGGAUUCAGCGGCGGACGGGUGAGUAAUGCCUAGGAAUCUGCCUGGUAGUGGGGGAUAACGUCCGGAAACGGGCGCUAAUACCGCAUACGUCCUGAGGGAGAAAGUGGGGGAUCUUCGGACCUCACGCUAUCAGAUGAGCCUAGGUCGGAUUAGCUAGUUGGUGGGGUAAAGGCCUACCAAGGCGACGAUCCGUAACUGGUCUGAGAGGAUGAUCAGUCACAAUGACAGUGAGACACGGCACAGACACAGAAGGGAGGAAGGAGGGGGGAAUAUGGGAGAGGGGAAGAAAGUAAGAACCAGCAGUGCGGUGUGGGGGAAGAGUGUAUGCGAUUGGAAAAGAAUUUAAAGUGGGGAGGAGGGGUAUUAAGUUAUUAUAUUGAUGUUUAGACAAAACAAAAAGAAAAAACCCCGGAUAACUGCGAGAAAAAAGAAAUGGAAAGAAGGGGAAAAGAACACUUUGCAAC
RNAcentral lists this ribosomal RNA (525 nucleotides) under uncultured bacterium. RNAcentral's name for it is "partial 16S ribosomal RNA". The stretch from base 15 to 367 matches the Rfam family "Bacterial small subunit ribosomal RNA", at positions 42 to 397 of the family's 1533-position model. The record is from RNAcentral.